RNAcentral lists this ribosomal RNA (254 nucleotides) under uncultured bacterium. Its description in RNAcentral is "partial 16S ribosomal RNA". It matches the Rfam family "Bacterial small subunit ribosomal RNA", at positions 526 to 779 of the family's 1533-position model. The record is from RNAcentral.
CAGAGGGUGCAAACGUUGUUCGGAAUUACUGGGCGUAAAGCGCGUGUAGGCGGCACUGUUGGUCGGAUGUGAAAUCCCGCGGCUCAACCGUGGAAGUGCAUUCGAUACCGCAGAGCUAGAGUAUCGGAGAGGAAGGUGGAAUGCUUGGUGUAGAGGUGAAAUUCGUAGAUAUCAAGCGGAACACCGGUGGCGAAGGCGGCCUUCUGGACGAUUACUGACGCUGAGACGCGAAAGCGUGGGUAGCAAACAGGAUU